This 275-nucleotide unclassified non-coding RNA is filed under the name uncultured fungus. RNAcentral describes it as "sequence contains ITS2". Lineage: Eukaryota; Fungi. The record is from RNAcentral.
AACGCACAUUGCGCCUGCUAGCAUUCUGGCAGGCAUGCCUGUUCGAGCGUCAUUUCAACCCUCAAGCCAUUAUGGUUUGGUGUUGAGGUUCUAUAAUUUAUAGGCCUCUAAAUCUAUUGGCGGAACGUCAAAAACUCCCAAGUGUAGUAAAUUUUCUUUACUUGAGGUAAUUUUUGAUGAUACUUGCCGUAAAACUCUGGUUUGGACUCUCUUUUGAGUCCCUCCUAUUUUACAAGGUUGACCUCGGAUCAGGUAGGAAUACCCGCUGAACUUAA